CUACGGGUUGCACCAGUCGGGAAUAUUGCGCAAUGGAGGAAACUCUGACGCAGUGACGCCGCGUAUAGGAAGAAGGUUUUCGGAUUGUAAACUAUUGUCGUUAGGGAAGAUAAAAGACAGUACCUAAGGAGGAAGCUCCAGCUAACUACGUGCCAGCAGCCGCGGUAAUACGUAGGGAGCAAGCGUUAUCCGGAUUUAUUGGGUGUAAAGGGUGCGUAGACGGGAAGACAAGUUAGUUGUGAAAUCCCUCGGCUUAACUGAGGAACUGCAACUAAAACUAUUUUUCUUGAGUGUUGGAGAGGAAAGUGGAAUUCCUAGUGUAGCGGUGAAAUGCGUAGAUAUUAGGAGGAACACCGGUGGCGAAGGCGACUUUCUGGACAAUAACUGACGUUGAGGCACGAAAGUGUGGGGAGCAAACAGGAUUAGAUACCCUUGUAGUC
Molecule: ribosomal RNA, 440 nt
Filed under: uncultured bacterium
Lineage: Bacteria
Description: partial 16S ribosomal RNA
Rfam family: Bacterial small subunit ribosomal RNA
Source: RNAcentral